UUAAGUAAUUCACAUAAUUUAUUGCAUUAAUUAUUAAUUUAUGGUCUUAAUAAAUAUAAAAACUGACUUUAAUAUAUUUUAAUGGUUUGCUGGUUUUUAUUUUGUAAACUAGACUCGUUCUCCGUAAAUUUGCAAAAGAAAAAUGAAGGAGUAAACGAACGAGAGGCACGGAGUUCCGCCAUCAAAGUAAAGUGGCGCAGUAAAUAAUAGUCAAAAGCGUCGUGCCGAUUCAAUUCUGGGCAAAUUAUACGCUCGCAGAAAGCCGAGUUGUGAUCUGCGGGCCAAAAGUUUAUUGCUGUGCCUUGUAUUGCUCGCAGCGGCGAAACGAGAUGCAAAGCAGCAGGCCUCUUGGCGGCGAGCGAGAAAAUUUGGCCGAAAACACGGAUUAUUAAAAGCAGUCGCUCGACACGGACCGUUUCGCCUGGAACCAAAAAGUCAGCGACUGAUCGCCACUCCUUAGCUGCGUUGAUUUGCGAGAUGCUUUUAUUGAUUCAUAGUUUGCGAUACACUGCUAUUAGCAUUCCCAAGAUCAAAUCAAUCGAAAUAUUCUCGUUAUGAAAAACCACAAAGGGAAAAUUAAAAAAAACACACACACAAUUUGUCAAUUAAUGAUGUCACGUUUGUUCUGCCUCGCAAGAUUAUAUUGUUUGUAGAAAUACAAUUUGGCUUUUUCAGUGUAUUUUGUUCUUAUCACUUGCAAGUCAACUAUAAAAGAGCAAAAUUUACUGAUGCAAACUUGCCAUUCAGUCGAAACCUUGUUCUGACAUAGAAAAGGAUGCGUUCCUUGUUGCUUCUCUGCGUUUUUCUUCUCGCAUUCCGGCAAGGAAUGACCCUAAAAUGCUACGAAUGUGGCAGUGCGAGUGGAAUUAAUGCUGGGCAGCCGUCGUGUGGCGAUCCGUUCAACAAAAGCCAAGCAAGAAUCUGCGACGCUGAAGGAGUCGUUUGCAUGAAAACCAAGGUCCAAGGAUUAUUCACAGCAAGAAGUUGUGUGCCAAAAGGAACAACGUGCGAGCUAA
Molecule: long non-coding RNA, 1016 nt
Organism: Cloeon dipterum
Lineage: Eukaryota; Metazoa; Arthropoda; Insecta; Ephemeroptera; Baetidae
Exons: 3
Source: RefSeq, a predicted model, not a curated record